Molecule: ribosomal RNA, 259 nt
Filed under: uncultured bacterium
Lineage: Bacteria
Description: partial 16S ribosomal RNA
Rfam family: Bacterial small subunit ribosomal RNA
Source: RNAcentral
UACGGAGGGGUGCAAGCGUUAAUCGGAAUUACUGGGCGUAAAGCGUGACGCAGGCGGUUUGUUAAGUCCGUUGUGAAAGGCCCCGAAGCCUCAACUUGGGAAUUGCAGUGGAUACUGGCAUGGCUGGAGUACGGUAGAGGAAGGUGGAAUUCCGGUCGUAGCAGUGAAAUGCGUAGAUAUCGGGAGGAACACCAGUGGCGAAGGCGGCCUUCUGGACCAGUACUGACGCUCAUGCACGAAAGCGUGGGGAGCAAACAGG